Molecule: ribosomal RNA, 492 nt
Filed under: uncultured bacterium
Lineage: Bacteria
Description: partial 16S ribosomal RNA
Rfam family: Bacterial small subunit ribosomal RNA
Source: RNAcentral
AGUGAACGCUGGCGGUAGGCCUAACACAUGCAAGUCGAACGGCAGCACAGUAAGAGCUUGCUCUUACGGGUGGCGAGUGGCGGACGGGUGAGGAAUACAUCGGAAUCUACUUUUUCGUGGGGGAUAACGUAGGGAAACUUACGCUAAUACCGCAUCCGACCUACGGGUGAAAGCAGGGGAUCUUCGGACCUUGCGCGAUUGAAUGAGCCGAUGUCGGAUUAGCUGGUUGGCGGGGUAAAGGCCCACCAAGGCGACGAUCCGUAGCUGGUGUGAGAGGAUGAUCAGCCACACUGGAGCUGAGACACGGUCCAGACUCCUACGGGAGGCAGCAGUGGGGAAUAUUGGACAAUGGGCGCAAGCCUGAUCCAGCCAUACCGCGUGGGUGAAGAAGGCCUUCGGGUUGUAAAGCCCUUUUGUUGGGAAAGAAAAGCAGCAGGUUAAUACCCCGCUGUCCUGACGGUACCCAAAGAAUAAGCACCGGCUAACUUCGUG